GAUGAACGCUGGCGGCGUGCCUAAUACAUGCAAGUCGAGCGAACAGACGAGGAGCUUGCUCCUCUGACGUUAGCGGCGGACGGGUGAGUAACACGUGGAUAACCUACCUAUAAGACUGGGAUAACUUCGGGAAACCGGAGCUAAUACCGGAUAAUAUAUUGAACCGCAUGGUUCAAGAGUGAAAGACGGUUUUGCUGUCACUUAUAGAUGGAUCCGCUCCGCAUUAGCUAGUUGGUAAGGUAACGGCUUACCAAGGCAACGAUGCGUAGCCGACCUGAGAGGGUGAUCGGCCACACUGGAACUGAGACACGGUCCAGACUCCUACGGGAGGCAGCAGUAGGGAAUCUUCCGCAAUGGGCGAAAGCCUGACGGAGCAACGCCGCGUGAGUGAUGAAGGUCUUCGGAUCGUAAACCUCUGUUAUUAGGGAAGAACAAAUGUGUAAGUAACUAUGCACGUCUUGACGGUACCUAAUCAGAAAGCCACGGCUAACUACGUG
Molecule: ribosomal RNA, 497 nt
Filed under: uncultured bacterium
Lineage: Bacteria
Description: partial 16S ribosomal RNA
Rfam family: Bacterial small subunit ribosomal RNA
Source: RNAcentral